This 492-nucleotide ribosomal RNA is filed under the name uncultured bacterium. RNAcentral's name for it is "partial 16S ribosomal RNA". It matches the Rfam family "Bacterial small subunit ribosomal RNA", at positions 29 to 507 of the family's 1533-position model. The record is from RNAcentral.
AGUGAAUGCUGGCGGUAGGCCUAACACAUGCAAGUCGAACGGCAGCACAGUAAGAGCUUGCUCUUACGGGUGGCGAGUGGCGGACGGGUGAGGAAUACAUCGGAAUCUACUUUUUCGUGGGGGAUAACGUAGGGAAACUUACGCUAAUACCGCAUACGACCUACGGGUGAAAGCAGGGGAUCUUCGGACCUUGCGCGAUUGAAUGAGCCGAUGUCGGAUUAGCUAGUUGGCGGGGUAAAGGCCCACCAAGGCGACGAUCCGUAGCUGGUCUGAGAGGAUGAUCAGCCACACUGGAACUGAGACACGGUCCAGACUCCUACGGGAGGCAGCAGUGGGGAAUAUUGGACAAUGGGCGCAAACCUGAUCCAGCCAUACCGCGUGGGUGAAGAAGGCCUUCGGGUUGUAAAGCCCUUUUGUUGGGAAAGAAAAGCAGCAGGUUAAUACCCCGCUGUUCUGACGGUACCCAAAGAAUAAGCACCGGCUAACUUCGUG